AGAGGGGGCAAGCGUUAUUCGGAAUUAUUGGGCGUAAAGGGCGCGUAGGCGGCUUGGCAAGUGGAAGGUGAAAUCCCUCGGCUCAACUGAGGAACUGCCCUCCAAACUGCUUUGCUUGAGGCCGGGAGAGGUAAGUGGAAUUCCCAGUGUAGCGGUGAAAUGCGUAGAUAUUGGGAGGAACACCAGUGGCGAAGGCGGCUUACUGGACCGGUUCUGACGCUGAGGCGCGAAAGCGUGGGGAGCAAACGGGAUUAGAUACCCCGGUAGUCCACGCCGUAAACGAUGAGUGCUUGGUGUAGCGGGUAUCGACCCCUGCUGUGCCGAAGUCAACACAUUAAGCACUCCGCCUGGGGAGUACGGUCGCAAGGCUG
This 371-nucleotide ribosomal RNA is filed under the name uncultured bacterium. RNAcentral describes it as "bacterial SSU rRNA". It matches the Rfam family "Bacterial small subunit ribosomal RNA", at positions 527 to 896 of the family's 1533-position model. The record is from RNAcentral.